AGCUCCAAUAGCGUAUAUUAAAGUUGUUGCAGUUAAAAAGCUCGUAGUUGAACUUCAGACCGGGUCGAGUGGUCCGCUUAACAGUGUGUACUGCUUGACUUGGCCUUACCUCUUGGUGAACCAGCGUGCCCUUUAUUGGUGUGCGUUGGGGAACCAGGACUUUUACCUUGAGAAAAUUAGAGUGUUCAAAGCAGGCCUAUGCCCGAAUACAUUAGCAUGGAAUAAUAAAAUAGGACGUGCGGUUCUAUUUUGUUGGUUUCUAGAGUCGCCGUAAUGAUUAAUAGGGAUAGUUGGGGGCAUUGGUAUUGAGUCGCUAGAGGUGAAAUUCUUGGAUUGACUCAAGACCGACUAUUGCGAAAGCAUUUGCCAAGGAUGUUUUCA
This 381-nucleotide ribosomal RNA is filed under the name uncultured eukaryote. Its description in RNAcentral is "SSU rRNA". It matches the Rfam family "Eukaryotic small subunit ribosomal RNA", at positions 587 to 972 of the family's 1831-position model. The record is from RNAcentral.